GGGCCGGUGGCACAGCCUGGUAGUUGCGCCUGGUUGGCAAUCAGGAGGUCACGGGUUCAAAUCCCGUCCGGUCCA
Molecule: transfer RNA, 75 nt
Filed under: Candidatus Heimdallarchaeota archaeon B3_Heim
Lineage: Archaea; Promethearchaeati; Candidatus Heimdallarchaeota
Also listed under: 1 other name
Description: Candidatus Heimdallarchaeota archaeon B3-JM-08 tRNA-Ala
Rfam family: tRNA
About the family: Transfer RNA (tRNA) molecules are approximately 80 nucleotides in length. Their secondary structure includes four short double-helical elements and three loops (D, anti-codon, and T loops).
Source: RNAcentral